AGAUUGAACGCUGGCGGCAGGCCUAACACAUGCAAGUCGAGCGGUAGAGAGGUGCUUGCACCUCUUGAGAGCGGCGGACGGGUGAGUAAUGCCUAGGAAUCUGCCUAGUGGUGGGGGAUAACGUUCGGAAACGGCGCUAAUACCGCAUACGUCCUACGGGAGAAAGGCGGGGGACCUUCGGGCCUCGCGCCAUUAGAUGAGCCUAGGUCGGAUUAGCUA
RNAcentral lists this ribosomal RNA (219 nucleotides) under uncultured soil bacterium. RNAcentral describes it as "partial 16S ribosomal RNA". It matches the Rfam family "Bacterial small subunit ribosomal RNA", at positions 26 to 247 of the family's 1533-position model. The record is from RNAcentral.